GACGGGUACCCGGCCUGAGAGGGUGAACGGACACACUGGAACUGAGACACGGUCCAGACUCCUACGGGAGGCAGCAGUAGGGAAUAUUGCUCAAUGGGGGAAACCCUGAAGCAGCAACGCCGCGUGGAGGAUGAAGGUUUUAGGAUUGUAAACUCCUUUUGUUAGAGAAGAUUAUGACGGUAUCUAACGAAUAAGCACCGGCUAACUCCGUGCCAGCAGCCGCGGCAAUACGGAGGGUGCAAGCGUUACUCGGAAUCACUGGGCGUAAAGAGUGCGCAGGCGGGAUAGCAAGUCAGAUGUGAAAUGCUAUGGCUUAACCAUAGAACUGCAUUUGAAACUGUUAUUCUA
RNAcentral lists this ribosomal RNA (348 nucleotides) under uncultured Helicobacter sp. Its description in RNAcentral is "bacterial SSU rRNA". It matches the Rfam family "Bacterial small subunit ribosomal RNA", at positions 278 to 643 of the family's 1533-position model. The record is from RNAcentral. Lineage: Bacteria; Pseudomonadati; Campylobacterota; Epsilonproteobacteria; Campylobacterales; Helicobacteraceae.